CCCCCCCCCCCCCCCUCUUUCUUUUUUUCUUUUGUCGCUGCUUUCCCUCUCUCCGGCGAUUCCGUCGCCGUCCGGCCACCCCAGGACGAAAGCUUGGGCACGGCGUGAUCCUCGCUUCCUUCUCCUUCUAGCCAUGACGUACUGAGCCCUCGAGCGAGGAGGACACAGGCAGGCAGCAGGGUUAGCUGCGGGACUCACUUAUUUCAGAUUAGCAGAGAUCGCGUCUAGGCUCAAGGACUUGGAAAUCAGCGCUUCCGUUUUUUGUCCGUAGGUUAUUACUUAACCUACCUUGUAUGAUAUCGGCUUAGUUUAGUGUUGCUCUG
Molecule: long non-coding RNA, 323 nt
Organism: Rosa chinensis
Lineage: Eukaryota; Viridiplantae; Streptophyta; Magnoliopsida; Rosales; Rosaceae
Exons: 3
Source: RefSeq, a predicted model, not a curated record